UCCUGGUUAACCCAGGCAGUCUCAUUAGAGUGCCCAUCUUAAAUGCUGGCAACUAAUGAUAAGGGUUGCGCUCGUUGCGGGACUUAACCCAACACCUCACGGCACGAGCUGACGACAGCCAUGCAGCACCUGUGCAGCGGUCCCGAAGGAAGGAUCCAUUUCUGGAUCUGUCCACUGCAUGUCAAGUCUAGGUAAGGUUCUUCGCGUUGCAUCGAAUUAAACCACAUGCUCCACUGCUUGUGCGGGUCCCCGUCAAUUCUUUUGAGUUUCACCCUUGCGAGCGUACUCCCCAGGCGGUAUACUUAUCACGUUAGCUUCGGCACAGUCGGGGUUGAGUCCAACUACACCAAGUAUACAUCGUUUACGGCAAGGACUAC
This 377-nucleotide unclassified non-coding RNA is filed under the name uncultured Parachlamydiaceae bacterium. Its description in RNAcentral is "contains 16S-23S intergenic spacer region". Lineage: Bacteria; Pseudomonadati; Chlamydiota; Chlamydiia; Parachlamydiales; Parachlamydiaceae. The record is from RNAcentral.